Molecule: transfer RNA, 62 nt
Filed under: Caligus clemensi
Lineage: Eukaryota; Metazoa; Arthropoda; Copepoda; Siphonostomatoida; Caligidae
Description: tRNA-Gly
Source: RNAcentral
AUUUAGUUAGUAUAAUAAUUACAUUUAAUUUCCAAUUAAAAGAUUUUCAAAUAAACUAAUUA